RNAcentral lists this ribosomal RNA (604 nucleotides) under Vibrio sp. T-Y. RNAcentral describes it as "bacterial SSU rRNA". It matches the Rfam family "Bacterial small subunit ribosomal RNA", at positions 59 to 643 of the family's 1533-position model. Lineage: Bacteria; Pseudomonadati; Pseudomonadota; Gammaproteobacteria; Vibrionales; Vibrionaceae. The record is from RNAcentral.
CAGUCGAGCGGAACGACACUAACAAUCCUUCGGGUGCGUUAAUGGGCGUCGAGCGGCGGACGGGUGAGUAAUGCCUAGGAAAUUGCCUUGAUGUGGGGGAUAACCAUUGGAAACGAUGGCUAAUACCGCAUGAUGCCUACGGGCCAAAGAGGGGGACCUUCGGGCCUCUCGCGUCAAGAUAUGCCUAGGUGGGAUUAGCUAGUUGGUGAGGUAAUGGCUCACCAAGGCGACGAUCCCUAGCUGGUCUGAGAGGAUGAUCAGCCACACUGGAACUGAGACACGGUCCAGACUCCUACGGGAGGCAGCAGUGGGGAAUAUUGCACAAUGGGCGCAAGCCUGAUGCAGCCAUGCCGCGUGUAUGAAGAAGGCCUUCGGGUUGUAAAGUACUUUCAGUUGUGAGGAAGGGGGUGUUGUUAAUAGCCACAUCUCUUGACGUUAGCAACAGAAGAAGCACCGGCUAACUCCGUGCCAGCAGCCGCGGUAAUACGGAGGGUGCGAGCGUUAAUCGGAAUUACUGGGCGUAAAGCGCAUGCAGGUGGUUCAUUAAGUCAGAUGUGAAAGCCCGGGGCUCAACCUCGGAACUGCAUUUGAAACUGGUGAACUA